AAAUUUCAGUCUUCAACAAGUGAAGGAGGAAAUUCUGGAAGUUCCAUGGGAUUUUCCGCAGUUCCAGUUACUAUAACAUUAAUAAUAACGUUGUUACAAUUGGGACCAUCAAAGUAGAUAUUAUCCGACUCUAGAGAAAAGGAAGUUCUCCCAUUCAAGUUCUGAAGAUACCACAUGAUGAAACAAAAAGUAACCGUCCAGUAGGAGGUCAUUGACUUGGAUAAAGUGUUUUGUUUGUUCGUUCGUUAUUGUUUAACUCAAAACUGCAAAAUAAAGUUCAUGAAAAGUCAUCCAAUAA
Molecule: long non-coding RNA, 298 nt
Organism: Limulus polyphemus (Atlantic horseshoe crab)
Lineage: Eukaryota; Metazoa; Arthropoda; Merostomata; Xiphosura; Limulidae
Exons: 2
Source: RefSeq, a predicted model, not a curated record